RNAcentral lists this long non-coding RNA (206 nucleotides) under Elaeis guineensis (African oil palm). Its description in RNAcentral is "long non-coding RNA (EGUI_LNC034297)". The record is from RNAcentral. Lineage: Eukaryota; Viridiplantae; Streptophyta; Magnoliopsida; Arecales; Arecaceae.
UGUGUCGACAGUCAUUGCAGCAUCAGUCUUAUGGCUUUCAAUAGCAACCGACUUUGGUAUGGCUUCUUCAACAAUCGAAGCAGACUCUGAUGCAGUCGGUGCAACUUCUUCGGUUGGCACUAUUUCCUCUAUAGUUUCUUCUUUCGAACUAGGGGCGGUGAUGCUACUCAGGUCCAAAUCUGGAUACAACUUUCUGAUCGCAUCCC